GCAACAAAAUAUUUCAAAAUUGACAAAAUGUACCAAGGUUGCCUACCCCUGGACUAUGUCAUGUAAUACUGACCCAAUGCAAAUACUGUAGAGAAGAAAUUGAAACAGUAACAAUUUUUCCCCCUAGGCUCAAAAAUUCAGAGAGAUAAUGACUGUUGCCAUAAAAUAAGUACCUGCUACUUGGGAAAAUGACUAAUAGGUCGACAGAAAUUUUGACAUGCAGAGAUAUCAGUUUUAAUACAUUUGUGAAAGAUGGACUAUCAGAAAGUUUUAACGAAGAAAAAUGCAGUGUGGUGGAGAAAAUAAUUUAUUUGGAUUGCCAGAAAUAAAAAUAAUACUAGAUGAAGUAAAAUCUGCUUAUUGGAAACACUAACAAUGAGACUAAAGCUUAGUAUUUUGAAUACAGAAUGUAAAGGCAAGAAUAAUUGGAGAAGACCCUUAUGUUUC
Long non-coding RNA from Protobothrops mucrosquamatus (brown spotted pit viper), 447 nucleotides. RefSeq lists it as uncharacterized. Lineage: Eukaryota; Metazoa; Chordata; Lepidosauria; Squamata; Viperidae. The transcript is spliced from 2 exons. The record is from RefSeq and is a predicted model, not a curated record.